Molecule: long non-coding RNA, 1114 nt
Organism: Rhinichthys klamathensis goyatoka
Lineage: Eukaryota; Metazoa; Chordata; Actinopteri; Cypriniformes; Leuciscidae
Exons: 3
Source: RefSeq, a predicted model, not a curated record
AAAAAAUGGCAACAUAGUCAUAACGGCAUGGCAGAAUUUUUAUUUUUGGUUGAAAUAUUUCUUUAAUGGCAAACACAAGCAAAAACAGAACAUUUAUGGUUGAAGCCAGACAGAGUUAAAGGAUUGCAGACAGAGGGCUGUGGUUAAGAUUAUUCUAGUGAUUGGUGUGGGAAAUUGGUCAAGGAGUUUUAUUUUUAGAUUGUUAUCCGGAUUUGGGUCUCAAUCUUUAAUAUUUGUUCAUUCUUAAGUGACAGCAGCGCUGCAGUUUUGUUUUCAUAGCACUGGUCCGACAAUCCUGGAGACAGUGAGUGUCUCUGUUUCUCCUCCAGAUGCGUGCUAAGGACCAAUAGACAGGAGAAGUCUUCUCAUCUAAUUGAAGUCAAUAACAAACCUCACUGUUGGAGGUUUUCCUUGAUCGUUUGGAGACCUUAAGGAGCAGGGAGGAUACCCGGCCGGUUGCAUUACUCCCUUAGUAAGAACUGGCUGCAAUUCAGCAUUUUACACACCAGGAAACAGCUUCAAAGACUUCCAGCUUACACUAAAAGAACUGAGAUGAAGUAAAUCUUGCCACAGGUUGCCUGCAGUGGCAGGUUUAAGUCCACAGGCUCCAUGACGAAUACACCCUUGCUCCAUGUUGGCAGUCAAGUCUCAUACACCACUCGAGGUAUCAUCUUACCUCCCUGCAGAGAGGAGAGAGUCUGGCCAGCCUGUCAGGAUCUGGAAUCUCAUCCCUGUCAAUACACACAGCAGAUACAGGCUAAAAAACAAUGACUGUUUUCCUACCCUCAGUGCUGUUUUUCCAGCACUUCCUUUUUCUAAUUUCAUCACACAGAGUUAUAUUGUCUGGUCUUAGCGUGUGUGUGUGUGUGUGUGUGUGUGUGUGUACAGGUUUAUAUUGCAUUGUGGGGAGUAAAACCUGAAAUCACCCACAAAGACAGCGAAACAGAGUGUGUGUGUGCGUGCAUUCAAUGUUAAGUUGUAUGGUUUUGAAAGAGUUGAUCACAUCGAGUUUUCAAAUGUCUUUUCAGACCGCAUUCACUAUAACAAGUCAAAACAGAUUUAAUUAAAGGCCAUGGAUCAUAUUUGUAAUAACUUGUUUUGAUUCAUGCCUUUU